This is a non-coding RNA of Oryctolagus cuniculus (rabbit), 3586 nucleotides long. NCBI's taxonomy places the organism in Eukaryota, Metazoa, Chordata, Mammalia, Lagomorpha, Leporidae. The record is from RefSeq and is a predicted model, not a curated record.
UUCAAAUCUCUUCUCCCUUUCGAGUUUAUGAAAGGAAAACAUGAGUGAGUUAACGAUAUUUCUAAAACGUUCCGACGACAACUCUAACGUGCUUAAAAGACAUGGAAGUUCUCCAUUUCCCCAGUGGGAGGCUGGAAACCUUUGCCAUCGUAGCCUGAAUUCUCUCUCCUGCAGCUCUCACUGAACUCUGCUGAGAAACCCAAACUUUGAGUCUAUAUGAGGAAAUUCUGGAUUUUAAACACCUACUUGUUCUCCCUUGUAACCGCUCUGUGAGAUUGUCUAAUUUGGCACUCUAGGAGAAAAGCAAAUGAUUUCUUUCAGCAAAGCUCUGUCCAGCCUCAUGAAUUAAUGAAAUCUACUGACUGAACCGUGGUCGAUACUGGGCAUCAAGAUUUUGGGAAUACAUAAUCCACACUGGUCAGGAUCUCACUUCUGGCAAGGUGGAAGCAUCAGGUUCCCCAAGCAACCCCCCAGAUGAGUGUGGAAACCAACUGAGUGUGCUAAAGAGUAUGCAGAAAAGUGUCCUUCAAAAACAUGCUGACAAGCACUCCAAGAAGCAAGCCAUACUCAACGGCCAAAACAGUGCAAUCUGGAACAAGGUGCAGGGAACACCUUGGCAGGCUUGACACCUGGGUACUCGUCAGGGAUGUACUCUAUGGACCCACCUCGGACUCACUGAAGCUAAUUCUGCAUUUUUGCAAGAUCCCCAGGUUCUCAAACUAGUGAGUCAAGAGACAUUGAAGUUUGAGGAGCACCCGAGGUGCUUGCAGAACCCCAAAUGGCAGAUUCAGAAGUGUCCACCAGAGGGCAGAAUAGCAGCAGGCAUGGAGCCACAGUCAGCCAUGCCAGUCCCCACUCCUCCGUUAGCGGACGUUAGGAAUUUGGGGUGAUUGCUCAGGGACUGUGGAAGUAGUGAAUGGAGGGAACCUUGGAGGAACCUCCUAAUCAGACAGUGGCAGGCUGUGGGCUGUUCUGCCAUGUGUCCGAGAGGGGUGAUUACACACACUCGCUUGCAGUCAAAGAAGUUGAGUGCCAGAGAGGGAAAGAGACUCAGUAGCCCAGUGCUCAGCAAUGGCAGGUGGUGUUUGGAGCCUGGGCUGGAAGGCAGCCUGGCCCCCGAGAGCACCCCCAAGGGGCAGGGCAGCGCAGGUCCGCCCGCCCCCGACUCUGCAGCCCUGAGGGACCUGCCUCCCUUCAGCUGCUCUUUGAACAGCUCUCCUGUCUUCUCUGGCCGUGCCAGAAGCAGCUGUUGUAAGAAUUCGAUUUGGAUUGUUUAUAGCCUCUCCACAACACUUGGAGUCCCAGGCUUAACCCCUCAGAGAACAAAGCGUCGGUCUGAAUUGGGAACAAACAGACGAGGCCUGCUCCCCAGCGGGACCCUGGCGUCCUGGUGGUCCCUGAAUCUGCAGCCAGCGCCAGCUGAGAGCCCUGACUCCUCAGUGAAUUUUCAUCCCCACUUGUUCGGUUUUGCUCUUUCAUCUAUAAGAACAAAGAUCCACUUGAGCAACCGCAAGGAAAUCUUUCCUCUUUUUUUUUUUUUUUUCUAAGUAACAAUACAUUUGGGUUGAUUAGAGCAAUCAUAUAAAAUUUGAGAACAGAAAUCUCAAUAAAGAUCCUGAAUCUCCAGCGUUGGGUGGGCUGAGAGUCACAGGAGAAUGAACCCCACCAUGGUGGGGGGGUCCUAUUCGUCUCAUCCUUGGUGCAUCUUCUCUGACACUUCCGGGAACUCAGGUCAAGUCCAGCAUUCUCUCCCUCCAAGUGUGCUGGGGCAGUUGGGUGAGAAUCUUUGCCUUAAUGCACAAUGGGGGAAUAGCCCUGACCAUGUGCUCACCUGGGUGCAGUUCUAGGAGCAACGCAGUAGAGUUCAGCAUUUAGCUUUGGCUGUGAGAACAAACAGGUUCACUUGGACCAGCUUUCUUAUAGAUGACACUUAGAAAAACUAGACAGAGGUGCAAAUGGGGUGGGAAACAUUGCAGAGGUAACAGGACAAUGAGGAGGCGUGGGGUCACGGUUCUAGGAAAAGCAGGGAUUGGGGAAGUGAGGACAGCCCAGAGGCUGUGUUCCAAAGGGGGGCUUUGAAGCCUCUCGAGGCACUGCCGGCAGCCCCUGGAGAUGGGCAACAGGUUCUGGGGUACAAAGUCCACUGUGAGAGCCCCCCAACUAAACUUCUUAUAUUUGGAGUGGGGUCGCAAAGGGCGGUACGAUAGGUCAAGGGCAGGUAGGAGGAAGCAGGUGUCAGCCUGGAUGUUCCCAUAGCCCUGAGGUCGGGCUGAGCUGGUCCCAGACCUUCAAGGCUCCCAAUACCUGAGAGGCAAACACUAACAUCACCCCAGUAUCAAGACAACUUCUUUUUUUUUUCUUAAAGAUGUAUUUAUUUAUUUGAAAGGCAGAGUUAGAGAGAGGGUUAGGCAGAGAGAGAGAGAGAGAGAGAGAGAGAGAGGUCUUCCAUCUGCUGGUUCACACCUCAAAUGGCUGCAACGGCCAAGGCUGGGCCAGGCAGCAGUCAGGAGACAGGAGCUUGAUCGAGUCUUCCACGCAGGUGCAGGGGCCCAAGCCCUUGGGCCAUAUUCUGCUGCUUUCCCAGGCUCAUGAGCAGAGAACUGGAUUGGAAGUGGAGCAGCCAGGAUGGGAACUGGUGCCCAUAUGAGAUGCCAGUGUUGCUGCUACUCCAUAGUGCUGGCCCUGAUGCAAUUUCUAUAAAUAAUUUUGGAAAUAUAACUGCUGGCAUACAUUGUAAAAAUAAGGCACACAAGGUGAUAACACGAUAUUAAUGAACACCAAAAAAAAAAACCACCACCACCACCACCAACAGAAAAAUCAAGCAUCCUCCUUCUUGGCCCAGGCGGGAGCCUAGAGGACUCCUGCUGACACUGCUGACAGAAGCAGCCCACGUAUUGACGCUCACAGUGCCACAGCCUGAAAGUCCUGCUGAUACUUUUGUAAACGUGGAGCAGCCGGCGGGCCCCUGGGGCACUGCAACCUUCAGCUUCCCCUUGGCUUCAUCCUCCGCUGCCUGACCCGAGGCACCCGCGCUCCUGAGCCUGUUUGCAGAACCUGCGGUCCUGCUGUGAGCGCUUCUUUCUGGGAAGCUUAACUCUCUCCCCAGACUUCUAGGCGUUCUUAAAAGCAUUUGUUCUGGCCCAGUACAAAACCUGGUUGCAACUUUGAGGGUGCUGGGCAAGUUGGCUCUGUUUGCCCUGUAACCAAAAUACUCGUGAGGGACCGGCGUGUGGUGCAGCGGGUUAAGCCGACUCCUGCUCUGCUGCCACCCCCUAUCGGAGCUCCAGUUCCAGUCUCAGCUGCUUCGCUUCUGAUCCAGCUCCCUGCUAGUGUCCUUGGGAAGGCAGCAGAGGAGGGCUCAGGUAUUUGGGCCCCUGCCGCCCACAUGGGAGGCCUGGAUGGGGUUUCCAGGCUCCUGGCUUCAGCCUGGCCCACCCUGGCCAUUGCGGCCUUUUCAGAAGUUAACCAGUGGCUGGAUCUUUCUCCCUGUCCUUCCCCACCUGCCUGUAACUCUGCCUUUCAAAUAAAUAGAUCACUCUUAAAAAGCAAAUACGCAUGACUUCUCUGAUUCCCAGCCCCAAGAGCC